GACGAACGCUGGCGGCGUGCUUAACACAUGCAAGUCGAACGGAAAGGCCCUGCUCUUGUGGGGUGCUCGAGUGGCGAACGGGUGUGUAACACGCGAGUAUCCUGCCCCUGACUUUCGGAUAACUUCAGGAAACUGGGGCUAAUACCGGAUAGGAGCUCUUGCUCCACGGUGGGGGUUGGAAAGUUUCGGCGGUUGGGGCUGGACUGGCUGCUUAUCCGCUUGUUGGUGGGGUAGUGGCUUACCAAGCCUACGACGGGUAGCCGGCCUGAGAGGGUGACCGGCCACAUUGGGACUGAGAUACGGCCCAGACUCCUACGGGAGGCAGCGGUGGGGAGUAUUGCACAAUGGGCGGAAGCCUGAUGCAGCAACGCCGCGUGCGGGAUGACGGCCUUCGGGUUGUAAACCGCUUUCGCCUGUGACGAAGCGUGAGUGACGGUAAUGGGUAAAGAAGCACCGGCUAACUACGUG
RNAcentral lists this ribosomal RNA (468 nucleotides) under uncultured bacterium. RNAcentral describes it as "partial 16S ribosomal RNA". It matches the Rfam family "Bacterial small subunit ribosomal RNA", at positions 28 to 507 of the family's 1533-position model. The record is from RNAcentral.